GGCGGCGUGCCUAAUACAUGCAAGUCGAACGGCUUUUCUAUGGAAGCUUGCUUCCACUGAGAAGAUAGUGGCGAACGGGUGAGUAACACGUGGGUAACCUGCCCCAUAAGAGGGGGAUAACAUCCGGAAACGGGUGCUAAUACCGCAUAGUUUUCUUGAUCGCAUGAUCGGGAAAGGAAAGACGGCCUUUGUGCUGUCGCUUAUGGAUGGACCCGCGGCGUAUUAGUUAGUUGGUGAGGCAACGGCUCACCAAGACGAUGAUACGUAGCCGACCUGAGAGGGUGAUCGGCCACAUUGGGACUGAGACACGGCCCAAACUCCUACGGGAGGCAGCAGUAGGGAAUCUUCCGCAAUGGACGAAAGUCUGACGGAGCAACGCCGCGUGAGUGAAAGAAGGUUUUCGGAUCGUAAAACUCUGUUGUCAGAGAAGAACAAGUUGGAGAGUAACUGCUCCAGCCUUGACGGUAUCUGACCAGAAAGCCACGGCUAACUACGUGCCAGCCGCCGC
RNAcentral lists this ribosomal RNA (508 nucleotides) under uncultured bacterium. RNAcentral's name for it is "bacterial SSU rRNA". It matches the Rfam family "Bacterial small subunit ribosomal RNA", at positions 38 to 518 of the family's 1533-position model. The record is from RNAcentral.